CGCCUGGUUUACCCUACCAGGUAGACUCUGCCCAAUGAAUUUUAAAUGGCCGCAGUAUCCUGACUGUGCUAAGGUAGCAUAAUAAUUUGUCUCUUAAUUGGAGGCUUGAAUGAAUGAGCUGACGAAGAGAUCCCUGUCUCAAGGGAGGCAAAGAAAAUUUAUAUUUAGGUAAAAAAUCCUGAAAGCUGUAGAGGGACGACAAGACCCUAAAAGCUUAACCCUUAACCCCUGAGAUUUUUUAGAUGAAUCAGGUUUAUCGGGUUUUCACUGGGGCGGUGUCUCUACUUAACUAGAGAAGUAAAAACACCUUGAGUGAAACUAAUUACCCUUACUUAGGUUUCAAGUAAAGUUACUUUAGGGAUAACAGCGCAAUUCUCUGAAAGAGCCCGUAUCGACCAGGGAGUUUGCGACCUCGAUGUUGAAUUGAAGACUUGGCUAAAGCAGCAUUUAGCAGAAAGAAGACUGUUCGUCUUUUAAACCUUC
RNAcentral lists this ribosomal RNA (483 nucleotides) under Ligia sp. Gulf North N. Its description in RNAcentral is "partial 16S ribosomal RNA". It matches the Rfam family "Archaeal large subunit ribosomal RNA", at positions 1924 to 2666 of the family's 2987-position model. Lineage: Eukaryota; Metazoa; Arthropoda; Malacostraca; Isopoda; Ligiidae. The record is from RNAcentral.